RNAcentral lists this long non-coding RNA (229 nucleotides) under Elaeis guineensis (African oil palm). Its description in RNAcentral is "long non-coding RNA (EGUI_LNC031247)". Lineage: Eukaryota; Viridiplantae; Streptophyta; Magnoliopsida; Arecales; Arecaceae. The record is from RNAcentral.
UGAACCUAAAUCUCCUCACUAAAUAUUAAGUCUACUGGUGUUCCACCGUUGUAGAGAUGCGGGUGUCUUUUCCGGCGUUGAUCAUUUUCGACUGGUUACAGUGGUUCAAUUGCAUAAGAAAAGCAUAACCACUCUAUUGGCAUUAGAUACCCUGGGGUAAAGAUGGGGUUAGGCCCAAUAACUGUUAGGUGAGGGACUUAAUGAUGGCUUUAUACUCGCUGGUGAACGG